GGGGGGGAGCAGGGGCAGGCCGAGACAGGAGGAGCAAUAAUAGCUGAGUCAGAAGCAGCGGAAGGACACCCUUUUCUUCCAGAAACACAUUCUUGGGUAAGCCUUUCAUCGGCCUGGGCUGAGCUGUCGGAGACCUGCCACUAAAUAUACAUAAGACACCUUCAGGCUGGAUUUCAUCUUAAGACCUCAAUUAAAUAUCACCCCGCCUUCCUGAUUCUUAUUAUCAAUAAUACCUCUAAUAUUCUUGUUAUUAUUUUGCAAACGACGUUUCGGCGGCGGAUGUCCCCUUGGAACUGCAGCGGGAGCCACGCCCAGGAGGGCGCUCACCUGCUGCGCGGAGCCCGGGACUUUGCCCCAUCCGCGUCCCUUGCCUCUUCCCCACUCCCCCUAGGCUGAUGGAUAUCCUUGGAUGUGGAGCCCUUUAAAAAUGACAAAUGCCUUGUCAGUACAGACCAUCCCUCCCCUCCUGCUUUCUAAUCUUUUUUUUUUUUUCGGAGCAAGGAUGGACCCAGACUCAAGCCUAGCGGCGCGGAUUACAUGGCCUGCGUUGUACCGUAAACGCCAAAACCUUGGCCUAAUUUACAGCUAAUAGAUCUCAAGCAAGGGAGUCGGGAAGAAAUCAGUGGCCUAAGGAGUUAGAUUGGGGCUUUGGAGGGAUCGGAAAUUAGGGACUGGAAGUAGGAUGUGAUUCACAUUAUUCACCGCUCCCCCCAACACACACACACACACACACGACCAGGCGCCUCCCGGCUCGGCCUUCGCGAAUGCGGCCCUUGGUUCUCCGCGGCCUGUGUCCCUGUCGCUCGCUUCCCUCCAUCGGGACCACACUGAGCGUCAGGGGCGCCUGCGAUGCGCUCAGACCCCUCGCCCUCCUCCCGGCUUCUCCCAGCCCCCGGGAGGAGGCGCUGGCGCCCGGGUCGGCCUCUGGUCCCUCCUCGUCGGCGUCCCCGGAGCCCCCAUUCACAAAGCCGCGCUUGGAGGAGGCGACACACACACACACACACACACACACACACACACACACAGACACACAGACACACACACACACACACACACACACACACACACACACACAGACACACACACACACACCCCGAAGAGGGGAGCUUGAUCUUGUCUCAUUGGUGUCUCGGGCCUGAAAGGAAAAUCGUUUGGGUAAACAGCCAAGCUUCCAGGCUUAGCGCCCGGCUCCCGCCCCCGCCCCCCGCCCCUCCGCCUCCCCCACUCCCCUUCCACCCCGCCCGCCACCCACACUCCGCUCCGCAGCCGGGCCCCGAGCGAGCUCCGCGCCGCCGGCCGGGAGUCCGGGGCUCACGAGUUCAAAGGGCCGCGGCCCCGAGGGGAUGCCCUCCUCGCUGUGCCCCGGGGGGCAGAAGCGGACCGCAGGGCGGUGGGACCGGCCCGGGCCACGCCCUGACUCUGUAA
This 1425-nucleotide long non-coding RNA is filed under the name Bos indicus x Bos taurus (hybrid cattle). RNAcentral describes it as "lncRNA (ENSBIXG00000014736.1)". The record is from RNAcentral. Lineage: Eukaryota; Metazoa; Chordata; Mammalia; Artiodactyla; Bovidae.